GACGAACGCUGGCGGCGUGCUUAACACAUGCAAGUCGAACGGAAAGGCCCGGUUUUUGUGGGGUGCGCGAGUGCAGAACGGGUGAGUAUCACGUGAGUAACCUGCCCUUGACUUUGGGGUAACUUCAGGAAACUGGGGUUAAUACCGGGUAUGAGCUCCUGCUGCAUGGUGGGGGUGGGAAAGUUUCGGCGGUUGGGGAUGGACUCGCGGCUUAUCAGCUUGUUGGCGGGGUAGUGGCUUACCAAGGCUUUGACGGGUAGCCGGCCUGAGAGGGUGACCGGCCACAUUGGGACUGAGGUACGGCCCAGACUGCUACGGGAGGCAGCAGUGGGGAAUAUUGCACAAUGGGCGGAAGCAUGAUGCAGCAACGCCGCGUGCGGGAUGACGGCCUUCGGGUUGUAAACCGCUUUCGCGUGUGAAGCAGAGUGAGUGACGGUAAUGGGUAAAGAAGCACCGGCUAACUACGUG
RNAcentral lists this ribosomal RNA (468 nucleotides) under uncultured bacterium. RNAcentral describes it as "partial 16S ribosomal RNA". It matches the Rfam family "Bacterial small subunit ribosomal RNA", at positions 28 to 507 of the family's 1533-position model. The record is from RNAcentral.